This 249-nucleotide ribosomal RNA is filed under the name uncultured Aeromicrobium sp. RNAcentral's name for it is "partial 16S ribosomal RNA". It matches the Rfam family "Bacterial small subunit ribosomal RNA", at positions 524 to 772 of the family's 1533-position model. The record is from RNAcentral. Lineage: Bacteria; Bacillati; Actinomycetota; Actinomycetes; Propionibacteriales; Nocardioidaceae.
UACGUAGGGUCCGAGCGUUGUCCGGAAUUAUUGGGCGUAAAGGGCUCGUAGGCGGUUUGUCGCGUCGGUAGUGAAAACUCAGGGCUCAACCCUGAGCGUGCUUCCGAUACGGGCAGACUAGAGGUAUCCAGGGGAGAACGGAAUUCCUGGUGUAGCGGUGGACUGCGCAGAUAUCAGGAGGAACACCGGUGGCGAAGGCGGUUCUCUGGGCAUUACCUGACGCUGAGGAGCGAAAUCAUGGGGAUCGAA